GUAGCUCAGUGGAUAGAGCAACAGGUUGCGGACCUGUAGGUCGGAGGUUCGAGUCCUCUC
Molecule: transfer RNA, 60 nt
Filed under: Armatimonadota bacterium
Lineage: Bacteria; Bacillati; Armatimonadota
Description: Armatimonadetes bacterium (bioreactor sludge metagenome) tRNA-Arg
Rfam family: tRNA
About the family: Transfer RNA (tRNA) molecules are approximately 80 nucleotides in length. Their secondary structure includes four short double-helical elements and three loops (D, anti-codon, and T loops).
Source: RNAcentral